This is a long non-coding RNA of Fukomys damarensis (Damara mole-rat), 297 nucleotides long. NCBI's taxonomy places the organism in Eukaryota, Metazoa, Chordata, Mammalia, Rodentia, Bathyergidae. The record is from Ensembl.
AUCAGAGACUCUUGUCUUGGCGUCCUUCCUUUCUCUCUGCCCCAUCUCCACCCCGCUGCUCUUUCAGGUUUGAGGCACUGCUGGACAGUGCUCUGCGUCGCCGGCUCGCGACAGCUCAGCACUUCAGGACUUUCAGGAUCAAAGGCCUAAAAAGCACUUUUGCUGCCACGCCCCGAGCCUUCCCAGGAAGAGCAAAGAGCAGGAACCUCUGAAACUCCCAGACCUCCGGGCCUCACAGCUCCGCGGCCCAGGGAGGGCACCCCACCCCGACACCGUCCGCGCUUCCGCCUCCUGCGC